This 418-nucleotide ribosomal RNA is filed under the name uncultured bacterium. Its description in RNAcentral is "bacterial SSU rRNA". It matches the Rfam family "Bacterial small subunit ribosomal RNA", at positions 29 to 490 of the family's 1533-position model. The record is from RNAcentral.
AACGAACGCUGGCGGCAGGCUUAACACAUGCAAGUCGAACGGCUGUAGCAAUACAGCAGUGGCAGACGGGUGAGUAACACGUGGGAACCUUCCUAGGGGUACGGAACAACUCAGGGAAACUUGAGCUAAUACCGUAUACGUCCGUAAGGAGAAAGAUUCAUCGCCCCUAGACGGGCCCGCGUCGGAUUAGGUAGUUGGUGGGGUAACGGCCUACCAAGCCUGCGAUCCGUAGCUGAUCUGAGAGGAUGAUCAGCCACACUGGGACUGAGACACGGCCCAGACUCCUACGGGAGGCAGCAGUGGGGAAUCUUGGACAAUGGGCGCAAGCCUGAUCCAGCCAUGCCGCGUGAGUGAAGAAGGCCUUAGGGUUGUAAAGCUCUUUUACCAGGGACGAUAAUGACGGUACCUGGAGAAUAAG